Molecule: long non-coding RNA, 899 nt
Organism: Apis mellifera (honey bee)
Lineage: Eukaryota; Metazoa; Arthropoda; Insecta; Hymenoptera; Apidae
Exons: 3
Source: RefSeq, a predicted model, not a curated record
CCUCUCUCCGCGCAUACCUGUCGUAUCUUUCUAUAUAGCAGCUAAGUCAUUGUCGAUCCAACUUCGUUUUCGUUCUCCAUCAUGAAAAUGGAACGUUUCUAUCCAGGAUGCAUAGAAGUGGCUGUGAAGCAUCGAGAGCCUCCGUUCGAAUAAUCAAAGUUGCAGGAUAAAACAGGGCGGUUAAUUAUCUAACGAUUGGUAAUUGCUCACUUCGAUGGCCGCUCGAUUGCUUCCUCGUUCCUUGCCAGCACUCUGCCCAAUGGCUCGCUUUGUGUAACGCGGGCAGAGAACGGAAAACAGGAGAGAAGAAAACGGAAGAAGAAAAAAAAGUAAAUCCAUCGAUUGAUAUGCCGGUUGGCUUGCUUAGUCACUCGGUUGGGCAAUUAGUCGUCCGUAAAGUAACUCGUGUAUGGGAUAAACGAACGGCUCGAUUAAAACAUGAUAAGCAUUAAUCGAUAUCUGUUUACGCAAUUAUGAGCAAGGAAUAUUCUUUGAAACGCGCUCUCUUUCGUUUCGUGUCGAGAAGGAUUCGCACGACCUACCCCACACGCUCCGCCAUUGCGAGGAUGGCGAGCUGACGCGUCGUUUCACUGUUCCUCUUUUUCUUAUUCUACUGCUACUACUGUGACGUAUGGAUUUCGAGGGGGAAAAAUGUAGGCCGCAGCGUUUCCUGGAAUUUUAACCAUUCACAACUCAACAACAUGGAUCAUAUAUAUAUGUUUUAUGCUUGGAAGUCUCAUGCCUCGAUUGAAAAUUGUUAAAAGUAUUAAGAGUAUAUUCGAUCUCGAGCGAAAUGUUCGAUUCGAAGUUGGGCAUUGAGCCAAUUGGUAGGAAAAGUGAGGUUAAAAAUAUCGGAUAAAGUUGCUUUAUGAAUAAAUUGCUUAUUAAAAUAAAUUGAA